Molecule: long non-coding RNA, 1249 nt
Organism: Musa acuminata AAA Group (dessert banana)
Lineage: Eukaryota; Viridiplantae; Streptophyta; Magnoliopsida; Zingiberales; Musaceae
Exons: 2
Source: RefSeq, a predicted model, not a curated record
GGAUCUUCAAUAUGUCACCCCUCUUAGUUAGACUCCACUUUCUCCACUUACAAAUUUGCAGACAAGUACUGAGCAGACCAUUGAGGACUUAAUUAAUGGGGUGGAUCAUGACUUGACCAACAUUAUCCAGAUUGGCUGAGUUGAAGCCAAAACCUUGCUUACAAUCUGCAGCAUCAGCAUGUGGUGUCAGUGCCACAGCAAUAUGGUAAGUGCUCGAGUUAGUGACAAUGUAAGAAGAAUCUGAUGACACGGUGUAGGUUGUGUUCUGCCUCUUCAACGAUGAGAUUGGGUGAGCAGUGAAGUUUUUAAGAACAUGUAGUCGAUUCUGUGGGGGGAAAUGGAGGGGCCGGGGAACGUUUCCCAGCAGUUGAUAACUGUUGUUUACCUUUAGGAUACGAUAGAUGGAUGGAGGAUGUGAAGGAUGGAGAACGAGUGGCUGGUGCAGAAACCCAAUCCAAGUGCUGUUUAAAGCAUAUGACAACCCACAUCGGAUUCCAUGCUCCGAGAUAAAAUGUGCUAGAGUUGGAGGAGGACCAUCUUGUACAUGUACAAUGGGGGAAAGCUACGAAGCAAAACGCUGCAGUAGACGUCGAUGACCACCACCACCACCAUGUCUUACAGUAGUAGAUAAAGGUUGAACAUCCCAAAGGCAGCAGGUACCGUUGUAUCCUCGAACGCCACUUACAAAGGCUCGCCCAGGAUACUCUAUAGGCACAGUCGACAAUAUGUUAUAGGAAAAGCAGCUCGAUUUGGGGUCUCCCAGCUUCUGUGAAGCCUUGCCUGCGCCCCUUCGCCGGAGAUCGAUCGAUGGCGCAGCUUGUUCACGACUUGAGGAGUUCUUGUCAGCAGAUUAGGAGGAGGAGGAGGAGGAGGACAGGAACUCAGAGGUCGGGUUAUGAGCUCAAGAAGGGAGAUGAGAGAUGCAAGCCCAAGUGGAAGAAAAACUAAGGGGGAGAUUGUGACUCACUCUAUAGGCAAGUCUAAUGCUUGGCUUUGGGGAGGGAGCAGUUGAUCCUUUUCCCCUCUUGUUUCUGUUUUCUGUAUUCUCUUCAUCAAAUGACUUCCCUGCUUGGAAUUAUUUGUCUUUGACAAUGUGGUCUUCUUCAAAUUUCCUAGUGUGUGUGUGUUGUGCUCAUCUUUCCUUGUUUUUUCCUGGGAAGAAGUAUUCUAAAGCAACUGCUUUUGUUGAGAUGUAAUGGCAUAUCUGAUGGAUGGAAGAUGGAUCAUCAAAUAAAGAGACUUCAUGACA